RNAcentral lists this ribosomal RNA (328 nucleotides) under uncultured eukaryote. RNAcentral's name for it is "partial 18S ribosomal RNA". It matches the Rfam family "Eukaryotic small subunit ribosomal RNA", at positions 1470 to 1796 of the family's 1831-position model. The record is from RNAcentral.
CCCUUAGAUGUUCUGGGCCGCACGCGCGCUACAAUGAUGAAUUCAACGAGUUUAUAACCUUGGUUGAAAAGCCUGGGUAAUCUUUUGAACUUUCGUCGUGAUGGGGCUAGACCCUUCAAUUAUUGGUCUCCAACGAGGAAUUCCUAGUAAACGCAAGUCAUCAGCUUGCAUUGAUUACGUCCCUGCCCUUUGUACACACCGCCCGUCGCACCUACCGAUUGAAUGGUCCGGUGAAAUCUUCGGAUUGAGACUUUGAUUUCUUCACGGAAAACGCUGUUUUAAAAAGUUGAUUAAACCUUACCAUUUAGAGGAAGGUGAAGUCGUAACA